UACGUAGGGUGCGAGCGUUAAUCGGAAUUACGGGGCGUAAAGCGUGCGUAGGCGGUUGGCAAAGUCAGCUGUGAAAGCCCCGGGCUCAACCUGGGAAUGGCGGUUGAAACUAGUCGACUCGAAUCUGGCAGAGGGGGGUGGAAUUCCACGUGUAGCAGUGAAAUGCGUAGAGAUGUGGAGGAACACCGAUGGCGAAGGCAGCCCCCUGGGCUGAGAUUGACGCUCAGGCACGAAAGCGUGGGGAGCAAACAGG
This 253-nucleotide ribosomal RNA is filed under the name uncultured bacterium. RNAcentral describes it as "partial 16S ribosomal RNA". It matches the Rfam family "Bacterial small subunit ribosomal RNA", at positions 524 to 776 of the family's 1533-position model. The record is from RNAcentral.